AAGGGCACCACAAGAACGCGUGGAGCAUGUGGCUUAAUUUGACAACGCGGGAAAACUUUCCGGGGCCGGACACACUGUGGAUUGUGAGGGGAUAAAUUAUGCUAUUCCUUUCAUGAGUGUGUGAGAGGUGGGGCGUGGGCGCUCUUAUAUCGCGGAGAGAGCUGUCUGCUUAAAUGUGUUUCACAUAAAAAGUGUCGAUCGCUCUGUGAGGGAUGUUGUCCACGGGGACAUAUCUCGCACGCGCGACACUAUGAAAGCAACAAACGUGACCGA
Molecule: ribosomal RNA, 273 nt
Filed under: Foraminifera environmental sample
Lineage: Eukaryota; Foraminifera
Description: partial small subunit ribosomal RNA
Rfam family: Eukaryotic small subunit ribosomal RNA
Source: RNAcentral